CAAAGUCCUGCACCAAAGCCUGCACUGAAAUCCUGCACCAAAGCCCUGCACCAAAGCCCUGCACCAAAGUCCUGCAUCCUAAGACCCGCACCAAAAUCCUGCACCCGAAGUCCUGCAUCCUAAGCCCUGCACCAAAGUCCUGCACCAAAGUCCUGCACCAAAGUCCUGCACACAAAGUCCUGCAUCCUAAGACCCACAUCGAAAUCCUGACCUGCACCGAAAUCCUGCACCAAAGCCCUGCACCGAAAUCCUGCACCGAAAUCCUGCACCAAAGUCCUGCACCAAAAUCCUGCACCCGAAGUCCUGCAUCCUAAGCCCUGCAACGAAACCCUGCACCAAAGCCCUGCAUCCAAAGCCCUGCACCGAAAUCAUGCACCAAAGUCCUGUACACAAAGUAUUGCACCAAAGUCCUGCGCCAAAGUCCUGCACCAAAGUCCUGCACACAAAGUCCUGCACCGAAAUCCUGCACCAAAGUCCUGCAUCCUAAGACCUGCAUAGAAAUCAUGCACCAAAGUCCUGCACACAAAGACCUGCACCGAAAUCCUGCACCAAAAUCCUGCAUCCUAAGACCUGCAUAGAAAUCAUGCACCAAAGUCCUGCACACAAAGUAUUGCACCAAAGCCCUGCGCCAAAGUCCUGCACACAAAGUCCUGCACCAAAAUUCUGCAUCCAAAGUCCUGCACCAAAGUCCUGCACACAAAUCCUGCACCGAAGUCCUGCACCACAGUCCUGCACCCAAAGCCCCAUACUCAGUUCUGCACCAAAGUGCUGCAGCCAAAAUCCUGCAACCAAAGCCCUGCAGCAAAAUCCCACACCCAAAUCCUGCGCCAAAGUCCUGCACCCAAAACCAUGCAUCAAAGUCCUGCACCAAAGUCCUGCACACGAAGUCCUGCACCAAAUUCCUGCACCGAAAUCCUGCACCGAAGUCCUGCACCACAGUCCUGCACCCAAAGCCCCAUACUCAGUUCUGUACCAAAGUGCUGCAGCCAAAAUCCUGCAACCAAAGCCCUGCAGCAAAAUCCCACACCCAAAAUCCUGCAACCAAAGCCCUGCAGCAAAAUCCCUGCAUCAAAAUCCUGCAACCAAAGUCCUACACCCAAAACCCUGCAGCCAAAAUCCCACACCCGAAGUGCUGCAUCCAAAGCCCUGCAGCAAAAUCCCACACCCAACGUCCUGCACCAAAGGGCCGCAUUCAAAGCCCUGUGCAAAAAUCAGGUGCCAAAGCCCUGCACCAAAGUCCUGCACCGAAGUCCUGCACCACAGUCCUGCACCCAAAGCCCCAUACUCAGUUCUGCACCAAAGUGCUGCAGCCAAAAUCCUGCAACCACAGCCCUGCAGCAAAAUCCCACACCCAAAAUCCUGCGCCAAAGUCCUGCACCCAAAACCCUGCAACCAAAGUCCUGCAACCAAAGCCCUGCAGCAAAAUCCCACGCCCAAAGUCCUGCACCAAAGGGCCGCAUUCAAAGCCCUGUGCCAAAAUCAGCUGCCAAAGCUCUGCAACAAAGUCCUGCACUGAAGUCCUGCACCAAAGUCGUGCACCCAAAGCCCCAUACUCAGUUCUGCACCAAAGUCCUGCACCCAAAACCCUGCAUCAAAAUCUUGCAACCAAAGCCCUGCGUCCAAACCCCUGCAGCAAAGUCCUGCAUCCAAAAUCCUGCAUCCAAAGCCCUGCAGCAAAAUCCCACACCCAAAGUCCUGCACCAAAGUCCUGCAACCAAAGCCCUGCAUCCAAACCCCUGCAGCAAAGUCCCACACCCAAAAACCCUGCAUCAAAAUCCUGCAACCAAAGCCCUGCGUCCAAAGCCAUGCAGCAAAAUCCCACACCCAAAGUCUUGCACCAAAGCCCUGCACCCAAAAUCCUGCACCCAAACUCUGCACCCAAAGCCCUGCACCGAACAUCCUGCAACCAAAGCCAUGCAGGAAAACCCCACAGCCAAAGUCCUGCACCAAACCAUGCAGCAAAGCUGCAGCAAAGCCCUACACCCCCAAUGCUGCACCCAAAGCACUGCACCCAAAGCCCUGCACCGAACAUCCUGCAACCAAAGCCAUGCACUGAACAUCCUGCAACCAAAGGCAUGCAGGGAAACCCCACAGCCAAAGUCCUGCACCAAACCAUGCAGCAAAGCCCUACACCCCCAAUCCUGCACCAAACAUCCUGCAACCAAAGGCAUGCAGGGAAACCCCACAGCCAAAGUCCUGCACCAAACCAUGCAACAAAGCCCUACACCCCCAAUCCUGCACCCAAAGCCCUGCACCGAACAUCCUGCAACCAAAGCCAUGCAGGAAACCCAAAGCCAAAGUCCUGCACCAAACCACACAGCAAAGCCCUACACCCCCAAUCCUGCACCCCUCAACGCUGCAUCCAAAGCCCUGCACCGAACAUCCUGCAACCAAAGCCAUGCAGGAAAAUCCCACAGCCAAAGUCCUGCACCAAACUAUGCAGCAAAGCUGCAGCAAAGCCCUGCAUCCCCAAUCCUGCACCCUCAACGCUGGAUCCAAAGCCCUGCACCGAACAUCCUGCAACCAAAGCCAUGCAGGAAACCCCCACAGCCGAAGUCCUGCACCAAACCAUGCAGCAAAGCCCUACAACCCCAAUACUGCACCCAAAGCGCUGCACCCUCAAUCCUGCACCCCAAAGCCAUGCAGGGAAACCCCACACCCAAAGUCCUGCACCAAACCAUGCAGCAAAGCCCUACACCCCCAAUCCUGCACCCUCAAAGCUGCAUCCAAAGCCCUGCACCGAACAUCCUGCAACCAAAGCCAUGCAGGGAAACCCCACAGCCAAAGUCCUGCACCAAACCAUGCAGCAAAGCCCUACACCCCCAAUCCUGCACCCUCAAUGCUGCACCCAAAGCCCUGCACUGAACAUCCUGCAACCAAAGCCAUGCAGGGAAACCCCACAGCCAAAGUCCUGCACCAAACCAUGCAACAAAGCCCUACACCCCCAAUCCUGCACCCAAAGCCCUGCACCGAACAUCCUGCAACCAAAGCCAUGCAGGAAACCCCCACAGCCAAAUCCUGCACCAAACCAUGCAACAAAGCCCUACACCCCCAAUCCUGCACCCAAAGCCCUGCACCGAACAUCCUGCAACCAAAGCCAUGCAGGAAACCCCAAAGCCAAAGUCCUGCACCAAACCACACAGCAAAGCCCUACACCCCCAAUCUUGCACCCCCAAAGUGCUGCACCCAAAGCGCUGCACCUGCAGUCCUGCACCCAACCCCUGCACUCCAAAUCCUGCACCAAAGUUCCUCACCAAAGUCCUGCACCCAAAUCCUGCAACCAAACACGGCCUUGCGGCGCUGCGCCCCGAGCCCUUCACUGAGGCGCAUGGCUGCACUGCUGCACAGCUGUGGCACCGCACCCCAUGCACGGCAGCACCUGCAGCACCGCAGAACCCCCC
RNAcentral lists this long non-coding RNA (3401 nucleotides) under Gallus gallus (chicken). Its description in RNAcentral is "lncRNA (ENSGALG00010009706.1)". The record is from RNAcentral. Lineage: Eukaryota; Metazoa; Chordata; Aves; Galliformes; Phasianidae.